GAUGAACGCUGGCGGCGUGCCUAAUACAUGCAAGUCGAGCGAACGGACGAGAAGCUUGCUUCUCUGAUGUUAGCGGCGGACGGGUGAGUAACACGUGGAUAACCUACCUAUAAGACUGGGAUAACUUCGGGAAACCGGAGCUAAUACCGGAUAAUAUUUUGAACCGCAUGGUUCAAAAGUAAAAGACGGUCUUGCUGUCACUUAUAGAUGGAUCCGCGCUGCAUUAGCUAGUUGGUAAGGUAACGGCUUACCAAGGCAACGAUGCAUAGCCGACAUGAGAGGGUGAUCGGCCACACUGGAACUGAGACACGGUCCAGACUCCUACGGGAGGCAGCAGUAGGGAAUCUUCCGCAAUGGGCGAAAGCCUGACGGAGCAACGCCGCGUGAGUGAUGAAGGUCUUCGGAUCGUAAAACUCUGUUAUUAGGGAAGAACAUAUGUGUAAGUAACUGUGCACAUCUUGACGGUACCUAAUCAGAAAGCCACGGCUAACUACGUG
Molecule: ribosomal RNA, 497 nt
Filed under: uncultured bacterium
Lineage: Bacteria
Description: partial 16S ribosomal RNA
Rfam family: Bacterial small subunit ribosomal RNA
Source: RNAcentral